GAGAAAUUCCAGGGCGUAGCCUGGAGCGAUGCAGGCGUUUGGACCUCUUGGAUCCCCGGAGACAAGAAGAUAAGUGAAAGAUUAAAGGCAGCUUUAAUCUGUCUUAUAAGAUGAAUAAACAAAAGAUUCUGGAAGUCUCUUUCAGCCCCAGCCUGCCUCCCAGGUGUACCCGGUUCAAGUAGGCCACAGGUCGGUAUACAACAGAUUGGCGUCUGAGCCAGGGACCUUGAGAACAUCGGGAAAACACUGAGGGAAUUGCUGUCUUGUAUGGAGCUCCAAGGGAAGGAAAGAAUCAGAGAUCGUAUUGGGCAUGGUGAGCAACAGGAUUUGACAGCGAAAUAUGUGUGGGACUAGAAACUGUGAAUCAGGUGGUUGUCCGCAGCUUUUAAAAGCUGUUUCAGCCUGCCUCCCAAGUGUACCCGGUUCAAGUAGGCCACAGGCCAGCAUACAACACCUAGUUGUAGUAGAAUACCACAGUGAAUUGGAGGUGCCACUUCCAUGGGAUGAUCACCAAGAACAGCAGCAGCAGUGGAGUAGAGUCAACCAGAGUGCUACAGAGGGCAGAGCUGGAGAAGUGACACAACCCUUUGGAGAAGCCCAGAAGAUCAAAUGUGGAUCCAAGACACUGGAACGAGAAGCUGUAAAGUUGAAGUUGCCUCGGAUACCUCAAUAUGUUAGAGAUGUCAGAGCCAUGGGAUAAUUGCCAAGGGAAGCUGCUAACAGGGAGUGGAACCUGCCCAAGAGAAUGAAGUUUGUUGCUGCUGAAUGCUAGAUCUGUCUGUUGGCAUUAAACAUGGGUGAAAGGCCGAAAGUCUCCUCCAGUGCCAUGACGGCCUGGAUGCUGCCAUGCUUCCCACCACGAUGGUAAUGGAAUGAAGACAAACUACGACAAGCAGGGAAGGCUCCCUCCUGACUGAGAAGCCAUGGGCAGUUGACAGCUUUGUGAGGAGAAAGAGUUGGCCUUACUUAUGGGUGUAGCCCCCGUAAGUCAACCAUGCUCUAGAGAAUGGCCCCACCCAAGAGUACAACACAAAUUGGACCUGGUGGGUUAUUUUUAAAAGGGGUGGUCCAUGAAAGUAGGUAGUUAAGGGGGGAAAGAAUCUGGAAAGAGCCAAGGGGAGGAUUGAGGGUAUGGAUAUGAUCAAAAUACACUGUGUGCAUUAAAAUUUCAAAGAAUAAAAUUUCUGAUAUUAUUU
This 1196-nucleotide long non-coding RNA is filed under the name Mus caroli (Ryukyu mouse). RNAcentral describes it as "lncRNA (MGP_CAROLIEiJ_G0006409.1)". Lineage: Eukaryota; Metazoa; Chordata; Mammalia; Rodentia; Muridae. The record is from RNAcentral.